GUCUGCUGGCUCGCAAGGGCAUGUGCACGCCUGUCUCAUCCACUCUCAACUUCUGUGCACUUUUCAUAGGCCGGCUUGUGGGUGCGUUCGCGCACUUGUAGGUGUCGGGCUUAUGCUUUACUACAAACGAUUCAGUUUUAGAAUGUCAUACUUUGCUAUAACGCAAUUAUAUACAACUUUCAGCAACGGAUCUCUUGGCUCUCGCAUCGAUGAAGAACGCAGCGAAAUGCGAUAAGUAAUGUGAAUUGCAGAAUUCAGUGAAUCAUCGAAUCUUUGAACGCACCUUGCGCUCCUUGGUAUUCCGAGGAGCAUGCCUGUUUGAGUCUCAUGGAAUUCUCAACCUUCAGCUUUAUUGAUGAAGGCUUGGACUUGGAGGUCGUGCCGGCUCUCGUAGUCGGCUCCUCUGAAAUGCAUUAGUGCGAACGUUACCAGCCGCUUCAGCGUGAUAAUUAUCUGCGUUGCUGUGGAGGGUAUUCUAGUGUUCACGCUUCUAACCGUCUUCGGACAAAUUUCUGAACUCUGAGCUCAAAUCAGGUAGGACUACCCGCUGAACUUAA
Molecule: ribosomal RNA, 557 nt
Filed under: Bjerkandera adusta
Lineage: Eukaryota; Fungi; Basidiomycota; Agaricomycetes; Polyporales; Phanerochaetaceae
Description: eukaryotic LSU rRNA
Rfam family: 5.8S ribosomal RNA (bases 175-328)
Source: RNAcentral